ACAAUUAUCAACCAGACAAUACAACUCUCGACUCCAAAUCCUAAUGAGGUUCAACAGCAAACCAACAAGACGAUAGUAGAAAACCAAGCUCGGACUUCAAUUUGUAUCUCCCUGCGACUCUAAUCCGUAUUCAAAAAUAAAAAAUGUAUAUAUGUUUCUCUUAAACUUUAAAGAAAUAACUCGACAAAAAAAGAAAACAAACUCAGAGAACCAUCAAUUUCAGAAUCCUUUCAACCUUUUCUUCUCUGAAUAUUUAGCCCAAUCCCCGAAAUCUUCCUCUUCCAAAAUAAUAACCAACUCUAUUUGAAAACGAGUCCCUUAAUGAAUGUGGAGUUCAGAUUGAACGAAAUCAAUCCAACGCCUCACACUCAUCCAUCAAUCAUUCUCAGAACCUUCCAAUUGUGAGAUAGGUCUAAAAACGAGCGAGUGAGAGGAGAGGGGAGUAUUGCGUCAGAAGCCGUUAGCAUUGGCAAGAGGAGAGAUAGAGGGACACGUGGGUUAGGGAUUGAUGCUCACUCGCCAUGGAUUUGGACGAAAUUUGGGGUUUGUUCGCGUGUUCUUCAGUGAAGAGGAACAAUGUGCGUCCGUUCUGGGUUCUUUUUU
This 603-nucleotide long non-coding RNA is filed under the name Nicotiana benthamiana. RNAcentral describes it as "long non-coding RNA (NBEN_LNC027364)". Lineage: Eukaryota; Viridiplantae; Streptophyta; Magnoliopsida; Solanales; Solanaceae. The record is from RNAcentral.